ACCUUGUGGCUAAUACACGCAAGCAGAUGUCUGCCACAUCAUGGGUUCAGCCCUGCUGUUUCCCAGUGGUGGACUGCAAACAGCUCCUGAAAGACCAGCGCCCUAACAGGGCAGUGUUGACUUGGUGAAUCAGGCUGUUCCAAAGGGACAUUGCACUGGCAGCUAACAGGCCUGUUUACAGGCAUGCUUGAUCGCAUGAACUUCUGACCUAUCAGCUUUGACUGUGGUGCAGUGGACCACAGUGGCCUUGACGGGUAACGGAGAAUCAGGGUUCGAUUCCGGAGAGGGAGCCUGAGAAACGGCUACCACUACCAAGGUGGGCAGCAGGCGCGCAAAUUGCCCAAUACAAAGCCAGCUUGUGAGGCAGCAACGAACUGCAGCAAUCAUGCCCACUUACGUGGGUUCGACUUGGAAUGGAUGCUAUCCAAACACAGCCAUGAGUAACAAGUGGAGGGCAAGUCUGGUGCCAGCAGCUGCGGUAAUUCCAGCUCCAUUGGCGUAUACUAACAUUGCUGCUGUUAAAACACUCGUAGUCUGCCACAGGGUCCAGGUCUGGCAGAUGGCUGGCCUGUGGUGCUUCGGCAUUGCAGGCUGGGUAAAACCUCUGUCAGUAUGUCCUGGUCCCAACACUGGAUGCUGAGAUGCUCCUGCAUGAAGCCCUCUUAAGUGAGGGUCAAGGCUAUUCUGCAGUCAGCGCUUGUCUGGGCAGUUCAGGGGCGUAACCUUGUGUUGCCAAUCUUACCCUGGCCCAUAAUCGGAGUUCAGCAUCAGAGCAACCCUGGUAAACUCAGUGUGCUUCAAGCAACCGUUCUGGCUUGUAUGCCAUCCAGUGAAUUGCAGAGCAGCGAUCAGACUUGGCUAAGAGUUGUGCUGGCCUUGGUGCCAAAUCUGAGCAAUGUGGGGCUUCCCCCUGACUGUGGCCUAGCCUCGGCGACAGCCUAUGCCCAGGUGGGGAGUCACCAACCGGACAUGAUGGAAGAGUUCAGAGUGGAAGAUACUGCAGCGCCAGAGGUGAAAUUCUUAGACCGCUGCAAGAUCAACUGCAGCGAAGGCGUUCUGCAAGAGCUCGUUCGUCGAUCAAGAAUGAGAGUGUGGGGAACAAAGAUGAUCAGACACCGUCGUAGUCCACUACAGUAAACCAUGCCAGCCAGGCUUUGGUGAGGCAAGAACCUCUACUUCAUCAGUGCCAUGCCCCCUACACCGAGAAAUCCACAGCCUGUGGGUUCAGGGGGGAGUACUGACGCAAGGCAGAAACUUAAAGGAAUUGACGGAAUGGCACCACAAGGCGUGGAAUAUGCGGCUUAAUUUGACCCAACACGGGGAAUGUUACCAGGUCAGGACACUGUCAGGAUGGACAGAUUGAGAGCUCUUUCUUGAUCCAGUGGAUGGUGGUGCAUGGCCGCUCCUGAUCGGUGGAGUGAUUUGUCUGGUUGAUUCCGAUAACGGGUGAGAUAUCUGCCUUCCAAUAGCCC
RNAcentral lists this ribosomal RNA (1472 nucleotides) under metagenome. RNAcentral's name for it is "bacterial SSU rRNA". It matches the Rfam family "Eukaryotic small subunit ribosomal RNA", at positions 155 to 1361 of the family's 1831-position model. The record is from RNAcentral.